Molecule: ribosomal RNA, 254 nt
Filed under: uncultured bacterium
Lineage: Bacteria
Description: partial 16S ribosomal RNA
Rfam family: Bacterial small subunit ribosomal RNA
Source: RNAcentral
UACGUAGGGAGCAAGCGUUGUCCGGAAUCACUGGGCGUAAAGGGCGCGUAGGCGGCCCUGGUAAGUCUGCGGUGAAAGCCCGGGGCUCAACCCCGGGUCGGCCGCGGGUACUGCCGGGCUGGAGUGCCGUAGGGGCAGGCGGAAUUCCGGGUGUAGCGGUGGAAUGCGUAGAGAUCCGGAAGAACACCGGUGGCGAAGGCGGCCUGCUGAGCGGCGACUGACGCUGAGGCGCGACAGCGUGGGGAGCAAACAGG